UGCUUUAUGUAACCCCAUAUAAAGUAAUCCCUGCCCAGUGAUUCUCAUUAAACGGCCGCGGUAUCCUAACCGUGCAAAGGUAGCAUAAUCACUUGUCUAUUAAUUGUGGACUAGAAUGAAGGGGCCAACGAAAUAAAAGCUGUCUCUAUAAGUAACAUAAAAAUUAAUCUCUAACUGAAGAACGUUAGAUUCCGUCGAAGGACAAGAAGACCCUAUAGAGCUUUAUUUAAUUUAAAAUAAAUUUAAAAAAAAAAUUCGGUUGGGGCGACCAGGGAAUAUAAAUCAUCCCUUAAAUAAUGAUUAAUUGAUCUAAGUCUUGACCCUUUAUACAAGAUCACAAGAACAAGCUACCUUAGGGAUAACAGGCUAAUUUUACUAAAGAGUCCUUAUCAAUAGUAAAGUUUGGCACCUCGAUGUUGGCUUAGGGAAUCUAUAUGGCGCAAAAGUCACAUAAAGAUGGUUUGUUCAACCAAUAACACCCU
This 482-nucleotide ribosomal RNA is filed under the name Satchellius mammalis. RNAcentral's name for it is "partial 16S ribosomal RNA". It matches the Rfam family "Bacterial large subunit ribosomal RNA", at positions 1830 to 2597 of the family's 2925-position model. Lineage: Eukaryota; Metazoa; Annelida; Clitellata; Crassiclitellata; Lumbricidae. The record is from RNAcentral.